This 406-nucleotide ribosomal RNA is filed under the name uncultured bacterium. RNAcentral describes it as "partial 16S ribosomal RNA". It matches the Rfam family "Bacterial small subunit ribosomal RNA", at positions 30 to 526 of the family's 1533-position model. The record is from RNAcentral.
AUUGAACGCUGGCGGCAGGCCUAACACAUGCAAGUCGAACGAGUGGCGGACGGGUGAGUAAUGUCUGGGAAACUGCCCGAUGGAGGGGGAUAACUACUGGAAACGGUAGCUAAUACCGCAUACCAUCGGAUGUGCCCAGAUGGGAUUAGCUUGUUGGUGGGGUAACGGCUCACCAAGGCGACGAUCCCUAGCUGGUCUGAGAGGAUGACGAGCCACACGGGAACUGAGACACGGUCCAGACUCCUACGGGAGGCAGCAGUGGGGAAUAUUGCACAAUGGGCGCAAGCCGGAUGCAGCCAGGCCGCGUGUAUGAAGAAGGCCUUAGGGUUGUAAAGUACUUUCAGCGGGGAGGCGUUACCCGCAGAAGAAGCACCGGCUAACUCCGUGCCAGCAGCCGCGGUAAUUC